AGUUUAAUCCACGGGAAACAAAAGGAUCGUCCCAAAACGAGUAAGGAUGAAAUUGUCCAUACAGGGCUAUACUCGUACGUGACGCCAAUCAUCAAAUUAUACACAGCGGUCAGCCGGUGUUCCAAGGAAAACAUUUGUCCAGAACUGAAUUUACAUGAAGUGUGUGUAUCACAUCCAUUGAUCAUAUGAGAGGCCAAUGUGAACCGCACAUACGAGUUCGUGCAAGAUGAGAGAGAGAGAGAGAGAGAGA
Molecule: long non-coding RNA, 250 nt
Organism: Rhodamnia argentea
Lineage: Eukaryota; Viridiplantae; Streptophyta; Magnoliopsida; Myrtales; Myrtaceae
Exons: 3
Source: RefSeq, a predicted model, not a curated record